Long non-coding RNA from Nelumbo nucifera (sacred lotus), 2458 nucleotides. RefSeq lists it as uncharacterized. NCBI's taxonomy places the organism in Eukaryota, Viridiplantae, Streptophyta, Magnoliopsida, Proteales, Nelumbonaceae. The record is from RefSeq and is a predicted model, not a curated record.
AUUUGGUCCAAUUAUAAACAGACCAAAUUCAAAUGACCCUUAAUUGAUCCCAUUUGAAUCCGAAUUCAGACAAUGGAAUACCGUUUGCAGCCCUAAUGCUCAAUCCAAGGCACAGAUUAGUAGUAGCAUUAUAUGAAAUAUCUAUCGAUUUGGCAGAAUAGUAUUCUUAGAUGUGAGAAGCCCUUACAAUGAAAAAAAUUUAUUGCUUAGUUACCAACAAAGAGAGCUCCGGCUGAGGGAGAACUCUAUGUUGAAUAGGUGCUGCUCUGCUAGAGAGCUGUUGAUCAUCUCGCUGCAAGAGAAAACUGAUCUUACUUAGAAAUUGUUUUCUGUUUUUCCUGAUAGUCUCUUGUCUGUGGUUCGGUUAGAGAGGAGUCAAUGGAGAUUACUGAAGCAGGAAAGGAGAAAGAACAACCAAAAGCACUGAUCGAGAACUCUGAGAAAGGGUUGGUCUCUAUGCAAAGGUAAUCUCGGAUAAGCCCCUUAAUGUAUCAGGAGUAAUAGAACAAAUCAAAAACAUGUAGUGGUGGGUUAAAGGGGAGAUACAGAUAGAACGAGCAAGUGAAAACCUUCUAUGGAUUUUCUUUUCUAGAGAAAAAGAUGGAAAGAAUGUGACGAGGGAUGAACCGUGGGUAGUGAAAGAGCCUCAUCCUGAAAGAAUAUACUGAUGACAUCUUGCCUUCAGAUGUAAAGCUAAACACUCUGGACAUGUGGGUAAGAAUUCUGUAUGUACGAAUGGCCUACAGAACCGAAGAAUCUGGAGCUCUUCUGGCUCAGACUGCUGGGGAGGUGGUGGAGAUGUUUGAGACUAAGAGUGAAAAUAGACAUUACAAAACCACUUGAAGUGGGAGCAAAGGGAAACUUAGGGGACGGGAAGGAAAGCUGGUUCUCAUUCCAGUAUGAGAACUUACCAAUCUUCUGUUACAAGUGUGGAGUGUUGGGGCACCUCAAAAAAGCUUGCAAAGAUACUACAGAUACCAGCAAACAAAUGGAAUCCUUAACUACCAAAAUAAAGGAACAAUGCUUGGACGAAUCCAAAGCCUUGACUGGAUAUGGGCCAUGGCUGAGAGAUGGAGUUGGAGAAGAAGAUGAUAGGUUCCUGAAUAUUGAGAAGAAGAAAAAAGAACAAGGAAGAGCCAAGUCUGAGAUCCACAACCAAAAAGAAGAAUCCACAAAUGAAGGAAGAACAGCAAGAAAACCAGGAGAGGUCUCAGAUGAAACCAGUUUGGAUGGCAUGGUCGAAUGAAGAAAAGAUCUGGAGGAUAGAACAGAAAGUGCAGAAUGCAAAGAUCUUACCAGAACCCCGGUGAGAAGGAAGCUCUUCAAUGAAGAGUACGGCAAUGAAGAGGGUCUGACUCCCAUGGAGGAAACUCACCGGAGCUUCAAUGUAGUUCUGUCUCCGGCGAGCUUUUUCCGGCAAAGCAGGCCGAGCAGAGAGGAGGUGACGUGGAAGAGAAGCAACAUCAACACCAGCCGCACAAGUUUUUCCUUGCCUGGCUAGUGGCUACCUAGGAGGGAAAGGACAAACAGAUCUGGUUACUGAUCUGCACAAAAUGGGUAAGACGUGCCUAACACUGCAAGUCUUUCCAAACAUGGAAGGUGAAAGGAUUUUUUCGAAAACAGAGGAGAGGAAAUGCUUAUUUCUAUCAAAAAGAAAACAGAGGAUGAGAUGGAAGCAUCCUCAGAAGUUAUCGAUAGCUGUGCCAAUCAAGAAGAGAAAAACAAGGAAGGUGAAGGGAUGGACACGCGCAGGCGAUCUGAUACAGUGAACACAGACCAGAAUCCGGAUCCAAACCCAAAUAAAAACCUGGAAGCAAACGGGGAUCCAAAUCUGAAUCCGACCACGGUUUCUAACCUAGACAAAAACCCAAACUUGAAAAUGGACUCAGAUUUGGACCCAAACCCAAAUCACCAAGAAAAAAACUGUGGAAAAGGGGAUCUUCGACUGACUGAACUAAGCAGAGAGAAGAGGGGGAGAUCUCUGAGCCAGGAAGAGGAGGCGCAAGACUUGACCAAACGAAGGAAGAAAAGGGCCAAGCAAUGGAUGAUAUUGAAGGUGAGAUCCUCAGCUUCUUCAAGAGCGAUAUUGAGCAACAAACACCAAUCACCACAACCUGGAGGCUGGAGCUGGCCGGCGAACAGUGAAUAAGUCAAUAGUGGAGAGAUAUCAUCUCUGACAGCAGAAAUCAGAAAACUCUUCCAAGAUUAGUCAAAGCAUGAAGGAUGUUUUUUGGACUCCACCAAAACAAGGCAUCAUGAAAGUUAAUAUUGAUGGUGGUUUUUUGGAAUCUUCUAGACAUGCUUCUUUUGGCUUCAUUAUCAGAGACCAUUUGGGGUGUUGCUGGGGUGCGGGUUUUGGGAAAUCAAAAGUUUUGUCUCCUUUGAAAUCAGAAACUCAAGCUCUCCUAAAGCGGUUGUUUUUGCAGAUAAAAUGAACAAAUCAGAUCUCAUUUUUUUA